ACUGGUUGGUAAGGUAACGGCUUACCAAGGCUAUGAUGUUUAGGGGUCCUGAGAGGGUGGUCCCCCACACUGGUACUGAGACACGGACCAGACUCCUACGGGAGGCAGCAGUGAGGAAUAUUGGUCAAUGGGCGCAAGCCUGAACCAGCCAUCCCGCGUGCAGGAAGACGGCCCUAUGGGUUGUAAACUGCUUUUCCAGGGAGAGAAACUUACGCACGUGUUGCGUGACUGACGGUACCCUGGGAAUAAGCAUCGGCUAACUCCGUGCCAGCAGCCGCGGUAAUACGGAGGAUGCAAGCGUUAUCCGGAUUCAUUGGGUUUAAAGGGUGCGUAGGCGGGCUAUUAAGUCAGUGGUGAAAUCCUGCAGCUUAACUGCAGAACUGCCGUUGAUACUGAUAGUCUUGAGUUUGGUUAAGGUAGGCGGAAUGUGUAAUGUAGCGGUGAAAUGCUUAGAUAUUACACAGAACACCAAUUGCGUAGGCAGCUUACUGAGCCGACACUGACGCUGAGGCACGAAAGCGUGGGGAUCAAACAGGAUUAGAUACCCUGGUAGUCCACGCCGUAAACGAUGAUUACUCGCUGUUGGCGAUACACUGUCAGCGGCUA
RNAcentral lists this ribosomal RNA (606 nucleotides) under uncultured bacterium. RNAcentral describes it as "bacterial SSU rRNA". It matches the Rfam family "Bacterial small subunit ribosomal RNA", at positions 244 to 849 of the family's 1533-position model. The record is from RNAcentral.